UACGUAGGAGGCAAGCGUUGUCCGGAGUUAUUGGGCGUAAAGCGCACGCAGGCGGUCCUGUCAGUCUGGGGUGACAGUUCCCGGCUUCACCGGGAAAGUGCUCUGGAAACUGCAGGACUUGAGGGCUUCAGAGGGAUGUGGAAUUCCAGGUGGAGUGGUGAAAUGCGUAGAGAUCUGGAAGAACACCAAAGGCGAAGGCAGCAUCCUGGGAAGUUCCUGACGCUCGGGUGCGAAAGCCAGGGGAGCGAACGGG
RNAcentral lists this ribosomal RNA (253 nucleotides) under uncultured bacterium. Its description in RNAcentral is "partial 16S ribosomal RNA". It matches the Rfam family "Bacterial small subunit ribosomal RNA", at positions 524 to 776 of the family's 1533-position model. RNAcentral also lists the same sequence under 1 other name. The record is from RNAcentral.